CCUACGGGUGGCAGCAGUGGGGAAUAUUGCACAAUGGGGGGAACCCUGAUGCAGCGACGCCGCGUGGGUGAAGGAGUAUUUCGGUAUGUAAAGCCCUAUCAGCAGGGAAGAACAAUGACGGUACCUGACUAAGAAGCCCCGGCUAACUACGUGCCAGCAGCCGCGGUAAUACGUAGGGGGCAAGCGUUAUCCGGAUUUACUGGGUGUAAAGGGGGCGCAGACGGCAGCGCAAGCCAGGAGUGAAAGCCCGGGGCGCAACCCCGGGACUGCUCUUGGAACUGCGCGGCUGGAGUGCAGGAGGGGCAGGCGGAAUUCCUGGUGUAGCGGUGAAAUGCGUAGAUAUCAGGAGGAACACCGGUGGCGAAGGCGGCCUGCUGGACUGCGACUGACGUUGAGGCCCGAAAGCGUGGGGAGCAAACAGGAUUAGAUACCCUGGUAGUC
RNAcentral lists this ribosomal RNA (441 nucleotides) under uncultured bacterium. RNAcentral describes it as "partial 16S ribosomal RNA". It matches the Rfam family "Bacterial small subunit ribosomal RNA", at positions 338 to 795 of the family's 1533-position model. The record is from RNAcentral.